AGGCAGCAGUGGGGAAUUUUGGACAAUGGGGGCAACCCUGAUCCAGCCAUGCCGCGUGAGUGAAGAAGGCCUUCGGGUUGUAAAGCUCUUUCGGCCGGAACGAAAUCGCGUACGUGAAUAACGUGCGUGGAUGACGGUACUGGAAGAAGAAGCACCGGCUAACUACGUGCCAGCAGCCGCGGUAAUACGUAGGGUGCGAGCGUUGAUCGGAAUUACUGGGCGUAAAGCGUGCGUAGGCGGUUUUGUAAGUCAGAUGUGAAAUCCCCGGGCUUAACCUGGGAACUGCGUUUGAAACUACAGAGCUAGAGUGUGGCAGAGGGGGGUGGAAUUCCACGUGUAGCAGUGAAAUGCGUAGAUAUGUGGAGGAACACCGAUGGCGAAGGCAACCCCCUGGGCCAACACUGACGCUGAGGCACGAAAGCGUGGGGAGCAAACAGGAUUAGAUACCCUGGUAG
This 455-nucleotide ribosomal RNA is filed under the name uncultured bacterium. RNAcentral's name for it is "bacterial SSU rRNA". It matches the Rfam family "Bacterial small subunit ribosomal RNA", at positions 346 to 793 of the family's 1533-position model. The record is from RNAcentral.